This 334-nucleotide unclassified non-coding RNA is filed under the name soil metagenome. Its description in RNAcentral is "partial contains 5.8S ribosomal RNA, internal transcribed spacer 2, and large subunit ribosomal RNA". The stretch from base 1 to 120 matches the Rfam family "5.8S ribosomal RNA", at positions 35 to 154 of the family's 154-position model. The record is from RNAcentral.
GAUGAAGAACGCAGCGAAAUGCGAUAAGUAGUGUGAAUUGCAGAAUUCAGUGAAUCAUCGAAUCUUUGAACGCACAUUGCGCCCCUUGGUAUUCCAUGGGGCAUGCCUGUUCGAGCGUCAUUUGUACCUUCAAGCUUUGCUUGGUGUUGGGUGUUUGUCCAUUCUCUUGCAGAGGGACUCGCCUUAAAGUAAUUGGCAGCCAGUGUUUUGAUUUUGAAGCGCAGCACAAGUCGCGAUUCAAAGCUAUACGCCCGCUUCCACAAGCCUUUUUCACUUUUGACCUCGGAUCAGGUAGGGAUACCCGCUGAACUUAAGCAUAUCAAUAAGCGGAGGA